RNAcentral lists this ribosomal RNA (468 nucleotides) under uncultured bacterium. Its description in RNAcentral is "partial 16S ribosomal RNA". It matches the Rfam family "Bacterial small subunit ribosomal RNA", at positions 28 to 507 of the family's 1533-position model. The record is from RNAcentral.
GACGAACGCUGGCGGCGUGCUUAACACAUGCAAGUCGAACGGAAAGGCCCUGCUUUUGUGGGGUGCUCGAGUGGCGAACGGGUGAGUAACACGUGAGUAACCUGCCCUUGACUUUGGGAUAACUUCAGGAAACUGGGGCUAAUACCGGAUAGGAGCUCCUGCUGCAUGGUGGGGGUUGGAAAGUUUCGGCGGUUGGGGAUGGACUCGCGGCUUAUCAGCUUGUUGGUGGGGUAGUGGCUUACCAAGGCUUUGACGGGUAGCCGGCCUGAGAGGGUGACCGGGCACAUUGGGACUGAGGUACGGCCCAGACUCCUACGGGAGGCAGCAGUGGGGAAUAUUGCACCAUGGGCGGAAGCCUGAUGCAGCAACGCCGCGUGCGGGAUGACGGCCUUCGGGUUGUAAACCGCUUUCGCCUGUGACGAAGCGUGAGUGACGGUAAUGGGUAAAGAAGCACCGGCUAACUACGUG